AGAGUGAACGCUGGCGGUAGGCCUAACACAUGCAAGUCGAACGGCAGCACGGUAAGAGCUUGCUCUUAUGGGUGGCGAGUGGCGGACGGGUGAGGAAUACAUCGGAAUCUACCUUUUGGUGGGGGAUAACGUAGGGAAACUUACGCUAAUACCGCAUACGCCCUUCGGGGGAAAGCCGGGGACCAGCAAGUGGCCUGGUGCUGAUAGAUGAGCCGAUGUCGGAUUAGCUAGUUGG
This 235-nucleotide ribosomal RNA is filed under the name uncultured soil bacterium. RNAcentral describes it as "partial 16S ribosomal RNA". It matches the Rfam family "Bacterial small subunit ribosomal RNA", at positions 26 to 252 of the family's 1533-position model. The record is from RNAcentral.